UAUCUUCUUCUUCAUUCACAUUAAAUACAGGGAAAUCCUAAAGUUUGUCAUUUCAGUCUCUCGUAUCUCUGCAAACAUGAUUUGGAUUAAAACAAAAUAAAUCACCCAGAAUAUUAACAUGGACAGAUGUCGACUGCUGAUUCUUAUAACAGGUGAUAUUUUUGGGAAUGUCAUCACACCGGUCCACAAUGAAGUAUACAAAACAGAAAAGGACAUUAUAUCCCUGUCCUGCAACCACUCUUCAGCAUCAAGUCUAUAUUGGUAUCGCCAAUAUCCUGGAGCUGCUCCUGAAUUUCUUUUAGUCAUUCUACAUGCAACUGGGAAAGUUUUACAGAAAUCUAAAGUUGUGGAACUAGAUCCUCGAUUCUCUGGAAAACUGAACAAAGAGAAAACCCACACAUAUCUUGAAAUCUCCUCUGCUAAAGUGAAAGACUCAGCAACGUACUACUGUGCCCUGGAGCCCACAGUGACAGGAAAAUAGACAACACUGUACAAAAACCCUCCCUACAUAAAGGGUAAAUCAUCCCACAGAAUUGUAGAAAUAUGGAAUGAAAA
Molecule: non-coding RNA, 555 nt
Organism: Onychostoma macrolepis
Lineage: Eukaryota; Metazoa; Chordata; Actinopteri; Cypriniformes; Cyprinidae
Source: the annotation of a RefSeq genome assembly